Molecule: regulatory RNA element, 110 nt
Organism: Pseudomonas aeruginosa PAO1
Lineage: Bacteria; Pseudomonadati; Pseudomonadota; Gammaproteobacteria; Pseudomonadales; Pseudomonadaceae
Rfam family: RhlA 5' UTR ROSE like thermometer
Source: Rfam
ACUUGUCUGCCGUUCGAACAAUAAGAACGAACUCUACGUAAUGCCGGGAUACCCGUGGCAGCGAUAGCUGUUUGCCUGUUCGAAAAUUUUUGGGAGGUGUGAAAUGCGGC